Molecule: ribosomal RNA, 511 nt
Filed under: uncultured bacterium
Lineage: Bacteria
Description: bacterial SSU rRNA
Rfam family: Bacterial small subunit ribosomal RNA
Source: RNAcentral
UAGUCCACGCCGUAAACGUUGGAUACUAGGUGUGGCGUCCCGAUUAACGGUCGCCGUGCCGAAGCUAACGCAUUAAGUAUCCCGCCUGGGGAGUACGGCCGCAAGGCUAAAACUCAAAGGAAUUGACGGGUCCCCGCACAAGCGGCGGAGCAUGCGGCUUAAUUCGAUGCAACCCGAAGAACCUUACCUGGGUUUGACAUCACGGGAAAAGCUGUAGAAAUACAGUGUCCAUUAGGGCCCGUGACAGGUGGUGCAUGGUUGUCGUCAGCUCGUGCCGUGAGGUGUUGGGUUAAGUCCCGCAACGAGCGCAACCCCUAUCUUUAGUUGCCAGCACGUAAUGGUGGGGACUCUAGAGAGACUGCCGGCGCAAGCCGCGAGGAAGGUGGGGAUGACGUCAAAUCAUCAUGGCCUUUAUGCCUAGGGCGACACACGUGCUACAAUGGUGCAUACAGAGGGUAGCGAAGCUGCGAAGUGGAGCCAAUCUCAGAAAGUGCAUCCCAGUUCGGAUUGG